ACAGGUGUUAGUUGAAGAAGAUCCACCCACCAUUUUAUUAAAAUCCACUAACUCUUAAUAAGAAGCAUUCCUUCAUAAUUAAUUAUCCUACCUACUACAUCCAUCAAGAGAAACAAAAAGGCAUAGAAAGAUGCUGGCUAAAAUAUUCCUUCAAAUUAAGCCUCCACCUAUUUGAUUUUUUUAGCUACUGACUAUUUUCUUCGAGUAGAAGCUUUGUUGACUCAGAAGAUGUUUAAAAAGUUCGAAUUUGGGCAUCGAAAAAGGUUUGUGAAGUUGCAGCUUUCUUUGAAGUUAUAUGAAGUUGUAGAAAAACAGAAAUCUUUUCGAAGAAAGAAAAUUGCAAUUAUAUUUCAUCUCUAUAAUGAGAAUACUGAAGACAAUGUGGCUAUUGAAAGUUCAAAGGCUGCUGAUGAAGCUGCUGAAAUUGUUCUUAGUGAAAUUAUUCUGGCAUCAAGGGUUCACUGCAUAGUAUUCACUGAAUGAAUUGCACAGACUUGAUAUUGGCACUACCAUGGAAGAGUUGUACGAAUAUUUCCAUAAAGGUUCUCUCAUCAGCAGGGGUGCGCUCAAUAACAUUUCAUCCGGAUGGAAGAAUUGGACAUGAAGAUACGUUAAAGGUAAAGGAUUGUGAAAGAUAAUAUAAUGUAGCACUUGAAUAAGGAUAAAAAGAGUCAUUUAAAAGUGUCAAAAUGAUAUAUUGUUGAUGUAUUCAUGGGAGAUUGUUAUCUAUUAUGAUUCUGUUGAUGUGAGAUGGACAACACUUGAUGAUCUCUAUAUUAAUGCGAAACAUUUGGGAUGCUCAUACUACCAAAACUUUGUUCGAGUCGGGUAGCACAUAUAUCGGUAGGAUUAUCUUUUUUCAAGCUGUUAUUUUCAGUGGCAAUUUUGUAAGUUUUUAGGUACCAAAUUUUUUAUUUUUAAUAGAGAUUUGAGAAAUUACAUAUGUAUUUAUUAACUACUGUAUAAAAUUAAUAAACAAUUUGAUUUGAGUUCUGAAAUGAUAUUUUUUAGAAUAAUAUGACAUGUAGAGAAGAAAGGAUAAAAAUAUUUGAAUGUUAUAUCAUUUUGUUUGACUAAUUGGAUCCAACAUUAAAAUAUAUUUGUGUUUUGAAUAUGCACCCAUCAUCACAUUGUUAACGAUUCUUAAUUGAUUAGUUGGGUUUUGAUUAAUUGGAUUUAACACUAAAAUAUAUUUAUGCUCUCCUCUUUAUUAAUAAGUUCAAUUGUUUUGAGUUAACAAACUGACACUUAAUUCUAAUUUAUUUUUUGUUUUGCUCUAAUAAAAAAAUGGAAGUUUGAACUUAUAUUUCAGUAAUAAGCUUCAAUGUAUAGUUAUAUGCAUAUCAUUCUGGACUUACUUCAAAGUGCUAACAUCGACAAAUUGGGAGAGAUUUGAGCCCUUAUACUAAAUCCAAUCAUUAUGAGGUCGUGAAUAUUAUAUGCUCCACUUUUAAUAUACUUUUUCUUUUAAUAUUUAAAGUGAAAAUCUGUUAUGGCCCUUGGUAAUUUUGCAGGAACUUUUCAUAUUUUUCUGAUUAGAGGACUUGCGAGAGAUAGUAAAAUUCAAGAAGAUAGUGUUCUAGAGGCUGAAGUUGAGAUAUUCAUGAAGAUUUAAGAUCCAAUUCAUAGAUUUGAUUAUAAGUUGAUUUUUUAAUUCAUGAAGACUAAAGUAUCUUGUUGGGAGCAACCUCUAUGAUGGAUGACCCAGAUUGAGUUCUGUUAAUCAGCUUGAGCAUAUGAUAUCCACCACCACAGUUGGGAUAUUUCAGGAAGUGUGCUAUUGAUGGGUUUCAUAAAGCAUCAUAAAGCAAUUAAGUGAACCAUGAACUAAUGAAUUUUCUGUUCUUAUAAUUGAUGUACUAUAGUUUAAUAGACCAAUAAAAUGUAAUUGUAACUAAAAAUAUAGGUCACUUAGUAGCUUCAUGAAUAAACCGCUGUUGUAAUCCAUCCUAAUAAAUUAUUAGUUGAAAUAUCAUAUAAGUAUAGCCUGAGUUUCUUUUUUUUAAGAAA
This is a non-coding RNA of Arachis ipaensis, 2010 nucleotides long. The record is from RefSeq and is a predicted model, not a curated record. Lineage: Eukaryota; Viridiplantae; Streptophyta; Magnoliopsida; Fabales; Fabaceae.